GAUGAAGAACGUAGUGAAAUGCGAUACUUGGUGUGAAUUGCAGAAUCCCGUGAACCAUCGAGUCUUUGAACGCAAGUUGCGCCCGAAGCCACUAGGCCGAGGGCACGCCUGCCUGGGCGUCACACGUCGUUGCCCCCCCCCAUCUACUCCUUCGGGAUUGCGGGGGGCGGAUGAUGGCCUCCCGUGCGCCUAGCCGCGCGGUUGGCAUAAAUACCAAGUCCUCGGCGACGCACGCCACGACAAUCGGUGGUUGCGAAACCUCGGUUGCCCGUCGUGUGCGUUCGUCGCGCAUCGAGGGCUCGAAAAAAUGCUCGGCUCCGGCUCGGCUUUCAACGCGACCCCAGGUCAGGCGGGGUUACCCGCUGAAUUUAAGCAUAUCAAUAAGCGGAGGA
RNAcentral lists this unclassified non-coding RNA (392 nucleotides) under soil metagenome. Its description in RNAcentral is "partial contains 5.8S ribosomal RNA, internal transcribed spacer 2, and large subunit ribosomal RNA". The stretch from base 1 to 122 matches the Rfam family "5.8S ribosomal RNA", at positions 35 to 154 of the family's 154-position model. The record is from RNAcentral.